Molecule: ribosomal RNA, 2515 nt
Filed under: Varroa destructor (honeybee mite)
Lineage: Eukaryota; Metazoa; Arthropoda; Arachnida; Mesostigmata; Varroidae
Description: eukaryotic LSU rRNA
Rfam family: Eukaryotic large subunit ribosomal RNA
Source: RNAcentral
ACAUCUAAUACCAGAUGUUAGGAAAUGGAUUCGCGGCAGCCAGGGAGAGCUAACAUCCUACCCCUGCCAAGUCUUGUCGGGUCAUGGACAGUUCCAGACAUACAUGACAAAGAUCGGCAAAACGCAAGUGGGCAUCUGUGUGCUCUGAGUGUCUAGCAUGAAGGACGGAGUAGAACAUACUCUUCUUCACUGCCAGACACUUAAAGCGGUCAGAGAUAAACAGGUACACAGAGAAGUAACAACAAAGGGCAGGGGUACAACUUAAAGGUGGUGGUAAAUUUCAUCAAAGGCUAAAUAUAUGAAGGGACUAAUAGCGAACAAGCACCAUGAGGGAAAGUUGAAAAACUCUGACGGGAGAGUUCAACAGUACGUGAAUGAGUACGUAAUGAGUAAAACAAAUAACUGUGCUGUAGAGUGGUGUGCCUAUCAACAGGGUAGUUGGUUAUGUGAUGCCUUGAGAGUAAGUUGUCCAUUCAACCGAUUGCUCUUUGUUAGCCCUGCCAGAGACUCUGUGCAUUAGUGCACACUCAUUCAUUGAGAAACUAUGCCGCUGCGGCAUCGAUAUGGGACAGCUCGUACGUAGUGCGAUGUUCUGUGUUGGGCGUCACCUAGCCGGUGUAGUUUAGCUGUGGGACAGCUACGGCCUGCGUUUACUAAAUAUAACUGCUGUAUCUGCGAUUUGGUUUAUUCCUUGUUGCGGUGAGCAUGUUACUCUAGGUAAGCGGUCCGCCAUCAAUGGUUAGCAUUAGUUAUUUGACCCGUCUUGAAACACGGACCAAGGAGUUCAAAUGGCACGCGAGUCAUUGGGUCUUGACACCCGAAGACGAAGUGAAAUGCAAAGGUAUUGUUAUUUGUGGUUGUACCAUGAUUAAGCGAUGAGUUACUUAUGCUUUCUGGCAUUUGUAGACUACAAGCGUGAUGUUUGAGACCCGAAAGAUGGUGAGCUAUGCCUAGUCAAGAUGAAGCCAGAGGAAACUCUGGUGGAUGUCUGAAGUUAUUCUGACGUGCAAAUCGAUAAUCUGAUCUGGGUAUAGGGGCGAAAGACUAAUCGAACUAUCUAGUAGCUGGUUCCUUCCGAAGUUUCCCUCAGGAUAGCUAGCGUACACGUUUAGUUUCAUCCCGUAAAGCGAAUGAUUAGAGGUAUUGGGGCGUAUAUAGCCUCAACCUAUUCUCAAACUUUUAAUGGGUGUGAGUGUUACUUCUCGAUUGAAGAACACUGCUAAAUAAGUAUGCUUAGUGGGCCAUUUUUGGGAAGCAGAACUGGCGCUGUGGGUUGAACCAAUUGUUGGGUUAAAGUGCCAAAAGCUGAAAUGCGCAUGAGAUCUAUAAAGGGUGUUAGUUGCUGAAGACAGCAGGACGGUGGCCAUGGAAGUCGGAAUCCGCUAAGGAGUGUGUAACAACUCACCUGCCAAAGCAACUAGCCCCAAAAAUGGAUGGCGCUAUAGCAUUGUACUUAUACUCAACUUCUGACGUGUGACGCACCGGAGCGCUCAGAGAGUAGGAAGGUAAUGUGAUAGCAUCGAAGGAUGUUGCUGUGAAGCAAUCUGGAGCUGUCACAUGUGCAGAUCUUGGUGGUAGUAGCAAGUACUCAAUUGAAAACCUUGAGCACUGAAGUUGGGGAUGGGUUCCAGGUGAACAGUAGUUGAUCGUGGGUCAGUCGGUCCUAAGCUUAUGAUGAAACAUGUGUUGAAUGUGUAUAAUAAUGUGUUAUCACUAUAAGCGAAAGGGAAUCAGGCUAAUAUUCCUGAACCUGCACACUGGGAGGCUACUUAGGUAGCAACCGUGGCAACACAAUUACGCUCAAAAACACCAAGGGAUAGGCUAGGAAGAGUUGUCUUUUCUUUUAAGUUACUGGUACCCAUGGAAUGAAGUAAAUUUGAGAUAUGGGUAAGGGUGACAUAAAGCUGCUCAUAUUAGAGUAGUUUAGUUGAUUCCUUUGGUCCUUGAAAAUUUGAGCGUGGUGAUUAUCUUGGUGGCAGUCCGUACUAAUAUCCGCAGCAGGUCUCCAAGGUGCGAAGCCUUUAGUGUCUAGAUUAAUGUAGGUAAGGGAAGUCGGCAAAAUAGUUCUGUAACUUUGGGAGAAGGGAUGGCUCUGAAGGUUGAUCCAGUCAGGUUGACAGUAGAAGUAUUUAUGACAUUGUGUUGUCGCCGAAUGGACUUCGUGUCUGUCUGGAUGAUGACCGAAGUUGUGUUUAUGGACAUUGUUAGCUAUUUCGGUUUAUGCUGAUGUGAGUGGAAAUUAUCAACUACUUCAGAACUGGCACGAACUGAGGGAAUCCGACUGUCUAAUUAAAACAAAGCAUUGUGAAGUCCAGUAAUUGGUUAUGACACAAUGUGAUUUCUGCCCAGUGCUCUGAAUGUCAAAGUGAAGAGAUUCUUUGAAGCGCGGGUAAACGGCGGGAGUAACUAUGACUCUCUUAUGGUAGCCAAAUGCCUCGUCAUCUAAUUAGUGACGCGCAUGAAUGGAUUAACGAGAUUCCCACUGUCCCUAUCUACUGUCUAGCGAAACCACAGC